RNAcentral lists this long non-coding RNA (2345 nucleotides) under Salvia miltiorrhiza (redroot sage). Its description in RNAcentral is "long non-coding RNA (SMIL_LNC006547)". The record is from RNAcentral. Lineage: Eukaryota; Viridiplantae; Streptophyta; Magnoliopsida; Lamiales; Lamiaceae.
AGAGCACGCCACUUUUGAACGGAAAAAGUGAGAUAGAGCACGCCACUUUUGGCGUUUAGUGAAAGAGAGCACGCCCGCCUGUCCGAACCACGCCGUGGCUCUACCCGUCAUCGGCCACCUCCACCUCCUGAAACAGCCGCUCCACCGCAACAUCCACCGCCUCUCCCAGCGGGCCGGCCCCAUCUUCUCCCUCAAGCUCGGCGUCCGCCGCGCCGUGAGCAGCGCCUCGCCGAUCCAGCAGCAGUCGUCCAACAGCGGUGCUCCCGCCUCAUCGCCGGGCAGCAGCGAGUUCGCCGCGCCACCAGCCCGGCGUUGCUCGCUGCACACCUGCCGUCUCAGUUCGCUGCUGCUGUACCCGUCAGCCCGGCGCUCGGAGCAACCUCACCGCAGCUUGAGAGAAGCGACGCCAUCGACGUCGCGCGGCCUCGACGUUCGCGGCUCAAAGCUGCGUCGAAGGAAAGCGGCGACGUCGUCACAGAUUGCCUCCGUUUGUGAGAAAUGGCAUCGCUCCAGCCUCCCCUCCAAAAUUACCCGAUUGUGUCUAAUAACUUUGCUCCUGUCAGUCGAUCAUCAUCGCCACUCCACAGUUCUACUAGGGAUUUCACCACUACUGAUCAGACGACAAUGAACUCUACGACAGUAAUGACGGCGCUUCUCUUCCCCGAGUCUGGGAUCACGAUGCCUCCGAGCAUCACUGUCACAGAUAGUUCGGCGGAGAAUGCUAGAGCUACUGAUGAUGUUUCGUUCCCGGAAAUCGCUGCGGUGAUGACUGCCCAUACUGUCGGUGUCUCUACUCAGGCCGAUGGCCCUAAGGGCCUGAUCCCACCUCGCUCGAUCGGGACUGCCCAUCCGAAUGUGGUCAGUCCACCGUCUGCUUCGAAGGUGUCGCCGGUCUCUUUUGCAGAUAAACUGAAAGCUAGGGAUGGCAGUCCGACAGAGCAAGUUUCCAAGCCUAGGGACGUCCCCGCUCAUGACUUUACAAUCCUCCGGCCAGAGUUGGUGGAUCUCAAACGUUGCCUUGUUUUAGAGCCUUCUUUCCACCAACGACAAGUCCGGCAUUUCGCCCAUGCGGUUCACGGCCGGCUGAUCCUCCGCAAAGGUGAGUCACCUCGGUUUGCAGCGGAUCUUUGGCAGGAACUUCAGCAGCUUUGGAAACCGUCUGUUGGUUGGUCGAUUCAUCCUCUCGGAAAAGGUUACUUCACUUUUAAUUUUGCCACCGACGAGGAUAGGGCAGCGGCCUUCGCUAAAAUGACUUGGCGUCUACGCUCAGGUAUACUCCAUCUCCAGGCCUGGGUGCCGAAUUUUGAUCCCUACAAAGCGAAUUCAACCCUUGUUCACGUAUGGAUUAGAAUCUUUAACUUGCCACAUGAAUAUUGGCACCCAGAGGUUCUUUCCGGGGUCGCACGAGAAGUGGGUACGCCUAUCUUGAUUGAUGGUCAGUCUGCACAGGCUCAUGUGGGUCACUUUGCUAGAAUUCUUGUUGAGUUAGAUGUUUCGGCUGAUAUUCCUGAGGCUUUAGAUAUUAAGUGUGGCGACAUUGAUAAAAACCGAUAAAACUGAAGUAGCGACUUGAAUCUUCAAUCUUGAUCCAAGCCUUGAAAACUGAAAAGCAAUAAAAAUUCUAAAGCUAGAAAAACUAAAGUAUGAAUGCUAGGGUUCGGGUGUGUGUCCUCUAUAGGUCAAAAGAGGACCUAUUUAUAAGCUUCAGAUUUCCUUCGGAUCACCAUGGAAGUUGCCAUGCAAAGUAGAAUUCUAAAGGUAAUAGAAUCGUGUGAAAUAAGGCAACUCUCCAGCUGGAUGCGCGCUUCUGGAAAAUACUCCCACUCAUGCUAAAUUCGCAGUUCUCUGGCGAUUCCUCUGCACUGGAGACUUGAUUCCUCUGACUCCAGUGCAAUGGUGAUGUCUCUGCUCUGGAGAUGUCGGUUCCUCUGGAAAACGCCAGAUUAAUCCAAAUUCAUCCAAAACUGCAUUCUUCCAUCUCGAGAGCCUAAAUCUCCUGCAAAGCAUAAAAUACACCAUAAACGCACCNUUGUCCGAUUUGAUAAUGAAUAUGCAUGCGUAUUUGUGAAAGGAGAGCUACGCCACUUUUGAACGGAAAAGUGAGAUAGAGCACGCCACUUUUGGCGUUUAGUGAAAGAGAGCACGCCGCCUGUCCGAACCACGCCGUGGCUCUACCCGUCAUCGGCCACCUCCACCUCCUGAAACAGCCGCUCCACCGCAACAUCCACCGCCUCUCCCAGCGGGCCGGCCCCAUCUUCUCCCUCAAGCUCGGCGUCCGCCGCGCCGUGAGCAGCGCCUCGCCGAUCCAGCAGCAGUCGUCCAGCAGCGGUGCUUCCGCCUCAUCG